GCGUGCCUAAUACAUGCAAGUCGAGCGGACAGAAGGGAGCUUGCUCCCGGAUGUUAGCGGCGGACGGGUGAGUAACACGUGGGUAACCUGCCUGUAAGACUGGGAUAACUCCGGGAAACCGGAGCUAAUACCGGAUAGUUCCUUGAACCGCAUGGUUCAAGGAUGAAAGACGGUUUCGGCUGUCACUUACAGAUGGACCCGCGGCGCAUUAGCUAGUUGGUGAGGUAACGGCUCACCAAGGCGACGAUGCGUAGCCGACCUGAGAGGGUGAUCGGCCACACUGGGACUGAGACACGGCCCAGACUCCUACGGGAGGCAGCAGUAGGGAAUCUUCCGCAAUGGACGAAAGUCUGACGGAGCAACGCCGCGUGAGUGAUGAAGGUUUUCGGAUCGUAAAGCUCUGUUGUUAGGGAAGAACAAGUGCAAGAGUAACUGCUUGCACCUUGACGGUACCUAACCAGAAAGCCACGGCUAACUACGUGCCAGCAGCCGCGGUAAUACGUAGGUGGCAAGCGUUGUCCGGAAUUAUUGGGCGUAAAGGGCUCGCAGGCGGUUUCUUAAGUCUGAUGUGAAAGCCCCCGGCUCAACCGGGGAGGGUCAUUGGAAACUGGGAAACUUGAGUGCAGAAGAGGAGAGUGGAAUUCCACGUGUAGCGGUGAAAUGCGUAGAGAUGUGGAGGAACACCAGUGGCGAAGGCGACUCUCUGGUCUGUAACUGACGCUGAGGAGCGAAAGCGUGGGGAGCGAACAGGAUUAGAUACCCUGGUAGUCCACGCCGUAAACGAUGAGUGCUAAGUGUUAGGGGGUUUCCGCCCCUUAGUGCUGCAGCUAACGCAUUAAGCACUCCGCCUGGGGAGUACGGUCGCA
This 866-nucleotide ribosomal RNA is filed under the name Bacillus pumilus. Its description in RNAcentral is "bacterial SSU rRNA". It matches the Rfam family "Bacterial small subunit ribosomal RNA", at positions 42 to 890 of the family's 1533-position model. The record is from RNAcentral. Lineage: Bacteria; Bacillati; Bacillota; Bacilli; Caryophanales; Bacillaceae.